Tricholoma furcatifolium is the source of this 84-nucleotide non-coding RNA. Lineage: Eukaryota; Fungi; Basidiomycota; Agaricomycetes; Agaricales; Tricholomataceae. The record is from the annotation of a GenBank genome assembly.
GCAUUAAUGGGGUAGUGGUAACCUGGGUCGUUGCCACCGAACGAUGAGUUCGACCCGCCGGGGGUUCGAUUCCCCCUUAAUGCA